GGUUCAGGAUGAACGCUAGCGGCAGGCUUAACACAUGCAAGUCGAGGGGCAGCGGGAUGUAGCAAUACAUUGCCGGCGACCGGCGGAUGGGUGCGUAACGCGUAUGCAACCUACCUUAUACAGGGGAAUAACCUUUCGAAAGGGAGACUAACACCCCAUAGUAUUGAUUUAAGGCAUCUUAGAUUAAUUAAAUAUUUAUAGGUAUAAGAUGGGCAUGCGUAUGAUUAGCUAGUUGGUAAGGUAACGGCUUACCAAGGCGACGAUCAUUAGGGGUUCUGAGAGGAAGGUCCCCCACACUGGUACUGAGACACGGACCAGACUCCUACGGGAGGCAGCAGUGAGGAAUAUUGGUCAAUGGGCGCAAGCCUGAACCAGCCAUGCCGCGUGCAAGGAAGACGGCCUUAUGGGUUGUAAACUGCUUUUACAUAAGACUAACCGUAUAUUUGCGAAUAUACCUGAAUGUAUUAUGAGAAUAAGGAUCGGCUAACUCCGUGCCAGCCGCCGC
RNAcentral lists this ribosomal RNA (505 nucleotides) under uncultured bacterium. RNAcentral's name for it is "bacterial SSU rRNA". It matches the Rfam family "Bacterial small subunit ribosomal RNA", at positions 21 to 518 of the family's 1533-position model. The record is from RNAcentral.